AGAUUAGCUUGUUGGUAAGGGUAAUGGCUUACCAAGGCUACGAUCUUUAGCUGGUCUGAGAGGACGAUCAGCCACAUUGGGACUGAGACACGGCCCAGACUCCUACGGGAGGCAGCAGUGGGGAAUAUUGGACAAUGGGCGCAAGCCUGAUCCAGCCAUACCGCGUGUGUGAAGAAGGCUCUAGGGUUGUAAAGCACUUUAAGCAGGGAGAAAAAGUUAUAAAUUAAUACUUUAUAACCGUGAUGUUACCUGCAGAAUAAGCACCGGCUAAUUCCGUGCCAGCAGCCGCGGUAAUACGGAAGGUGCAAGCGUUAAUCGGAAUUACUGGGCGUAAAGCGCGCGUAGGUGGUUUGUUAAGUUGGAUGUGAAAGCCCUGGGCUCAACCUAGGAACUGCAUCCAAAACUAACUCACUAGAGUACGAUAGAGGGAGGUAGAAUUCAUAGUGUAGCGGUGGAAUGCGUAGAUAUUAUGAAGAAUACCAGUGGCGAAGGCGGCCUCCUGGAUCUGUACUGACACUAAGGUGCGAAAGCGUGGGUAGCGAACAGGAUUAGAUACCCUGGUAGUCCACGCCGUAAACGAUGACAACUAGCUGUUGGAAGACAAUGUCUUUCAGUGGCGCAGCUAACGUUUUAAGUUGUCCGCCUGGGGAGUACGGCCGCAAGGCUAAAACUCAAAUGAAUUGACGGGGACCCGCACAAGCGGUGGAGCAUGUGGUUUAAUUCGAUGCAACGCGAAAAACCUUACCUACUCUUGACAUACUUGGAAGCUCUUGUAAUGAGAGUGUGCCUUUUGGAGCCAAGAUACAGGUGCUGCAUGGCUGUCGUCAGCUCGUGUCGUGAGAUGUUCCGUUAAGUCGGAUAACGAGCGCAACCCUUACCCUUAUUUGCCAGCGAUUCGGUCAGGAACUAUAAGGGGACUGCCGGUGAUAAACCGGAGGAAGGUGAGGACGACGU
This 954-nucleotide ribosomal RNA is filed under the name marine metagenome. Its description in RNAcentral is "bacterial SSU rRNA". It matches the Rfam family "Bacterial small subunit ribosomal RNA", at positions 238 to 1185 of the family's 1533-position model. The record is from RNAcentral.